This 735-nucleotide ribosomal RNA is filed under the name Apilactobacillus kunkeei. Its description in RNAcentral is "bacterial SSU rRNA". It matches the Rfam family "Bacterial small subunit ribosomal RNA", at positions 54 to 766 of the family's 1533-position model. The record is from RNAcentral. Lineage: Bacteria; Bacillati; Bacillota; Bacilli; Lactobacillales; Lactobacillaceae.
CUCCCAAAUUGAUUUUAUGCUUGCAUAAAUGAUUUUUGGAUUCGGAGCGAGUGGCGAACUGGUGAGUAACACGUGGGUAACCUGCCCCGAAGCGGGGGAUAACAUUUGGAAACAAGUGCUAAUACCGCAUAAUUAGUUGGAACCGCAUGGUUCCAACUUGAAAGAUGGCUCUGCUAUCACUUUGGGAUGGACCCGCGCCGUAUUAGUUAGUUGGUGAGAUAAAAGCCCACCAAGACGAUGAUACGUAGCCGACCUGAGAGGGUAAUCGGCCACAUUGGGACUGAGACACGGCCCAGACUCCUACGGGAGGCAGCAGUAGGGAAUCUUCCACAAUGGACGAAAGUCUGAUGGAGCAACGCCGCGUGAGUGAUGAAGGUUUUCGGAUCGUAAAACUCUGUUGUUAAAGAAGAACAAGUGUUAGAGUAACUGUUAACACUUUGACGGUAUUUAACCAGAAAGCCACGGCUAACUACGUGCCAGCAGCCGCGGUAAUACGUAGGUGGCAAGCGUUGUCCGGAUUUAUUGGGCGUAAAGCGAGCGCAGGCGGUUUUGUAAGUCUGCUGUGAAAGCCCUCAGCUCAACUGAGGAAGUGCAGUGGAAACUACAAAACUUGAGUACAGAAGAGGAAAGUGGAACUCCAUGUGUAGCGGUGAAAUGCGUAGAUAUAUGGAAGAACACCAGUGGCGAAGGCGGCUUUCUGGUCUGUUACUGACGCUGAGGCUCGAAAGCAUGGGU